This 566-nucleotide ribosomal RNA is filed under the name uncultured Bacillota bacterium. RNAcentral's name for it is "bacterial SSU rRNA". It matches the Rfam family "Bacterial small subunit ribosomal RNA", at positions 8 to 529 of the family's 1533-position model. Lineage: Bacteria; Bacillati; Bacillota. The record is from RNAcentral.
AGAACUUUGAUCAUUGGCUCAGGACGAAACGCUGGCGGCGUGCCUAAUACAUUGCAAGUCGAGCGAGCUUGCCUAGAUGAAUUUUAGUGCUUGCACUAAAUGAAACUAGAUACAAGCGAGCGGCGGACGGGUGAGUAACACGUGGGUAACCUACCCAAGAGACUGGGAUAACACCUGGAAACAGAUGCUAAUACCGGAUAACAUCACUAGACGCAUGUCUAGAGUUUGAAAGAUGGUUCUGCUAUCACUCUUGGAUGGACCUGCGGUGCAUUAGCUAGUUGGUAAGGUAACGGCUUACCAAGGCAAUGAUGCAUAGCCGAGUUGAGAGACUGAUCGGCCACAUUGGGACUGAGACACGGCCCAAACUCCUACGGGAGGCAGCAGUAGGGAAUCUUCCACAAUGGACGAAAGUCUGAUGGAGCAACGCCGCGUGAGUGAAGAAGGGUUUCGGCUCGUAAAGCUCUGUUGGUAGUGAAGAAAGAUAGAGGUAGUAACUGGCCUUUAUUUGACGGUAAUUACUUAGAAAGUCACAGCUAACUACGUGCCAGCAGCCGCGGUAAUACGUA